CCCGCGGUAGCUCAGCCUGGUAGAGCGCCCGGCUGUAAACCGGGUGGUCGCAGGUUCAAAUCCUGCCCGCGGGA
RNAcentral lists this transfer RNA (74 nucleotides) under Candidatus Caldarchaeum sp. RNAcentral's name for it is "tRNA-Tyr". It matches the Rfam family "tRNA". From Rfam's summary of the family: Transfer RNA (tRNA) molecules are approximately 80 nucleotides in length. The record is from RNAcentral. Lineage: Archaea; Thermoproteati; Nitrososphaerota; Candidatus Caldarchaeales; Candidatus Caldarchaeaceae.